This 646-nucleotide ribosomal RNA is filed under the name uncultured eukaryote. RNAcentral's name for it is "eukaryotic LSU rRNA". The stretch from base 243 to 397 matches the Rfam family "5.8S ribosomal RNA". The record is from RNAcentral.
UUCCGUAUGUGAACCUGCGGAAGGAUCAUUCGCACAUGUUCCAAACACACCACUGUGAAUUGUUCUGUGAGGGUCUGUGUGGGGAUGGCCAUGUGCGUGCCCCCAGGCAGAUGCUCAUGGGUGGUGGGGCGAUUUGAAUCAUCUUCAUGGUGAUUUCUCUUCGUUCCCGCUGCCGCUUCGCUGUUUUGCAGUUUCUUGCUGUCAGUUCGUCAUCUUUGGCUCUUGCCAACUGUGACCUUUACAACUUUCAGCGAUGGAUGUCUCGGUUCGAUCAACGAUGAAGGGCGCAGCGAAGUGCGAUAAGCAUUGUGAAUUGCAGAAUUCCGUGAACCGACAGGGACUUGAACGCAUAUUGUGCUUUUGGGAUAUCCCCGAAAGCAUGCCUGCUUCAGUGUCUAUGCUUUGUUGUUCCAGUUGCUGUGGCUCCUUGUGGGCAAGCUUCUGCGAGUGCUUGUGCCUCAGGAUGUGCUCUGGCACUCUUGAGGCAUUUGAUUCACAGGGCUCUGCUGCAACAGCCAGCUUACUAAGCAUCUCGUGUGCCAGUGGCUGCGCUGCGUGCGGCAACUGCUCUCCUCCCGCCGCUUGAUGUCCUCAAGCACUCAAGACAUGAAGUUAGGUUGGCAAACCCGCUGAAUUUAAGCAUAUC